GCCUGCCCAGUGACUCUGUUUAACGGCCGCGGUAUCCUAACCGUGCGAAGGUAGCGUAAUCACUUGUUCUUUAAAUGAGGACUAGUAUGAAUGGCAUCACGAGGGUUAUACUGUCUCCUUUUCUAAAUCAGUGAAACUAAUCUUCCCGUGAAGAAGCGGGAAUAAAACUAUAAGACGAGAAGACCCUAUGGAGCUUUAAACUUCCCAGCAAUUAUUUUCUAUUAACACAUCUCAAGACUAUAAAAUAAACCUUAAUAACAUGACUGCAAGUUUUCGGUUGGGGUGACCACGGAGUAAAACUUAACCUCCACAAUGAAUUAGAACCAUAAUUCUAAGCAAAGAAAUACAAUUCUAUGCAUCAAAAAACUGACAUUAUUGACCCAAUAUUUUGAUCAAUGAACCAAGUUACCCUAGGGAUAACAGCGCAAUCCAUCUCAAGAGCUCUUAUCGACAGAUGGGUUUACGACCUCGAUGUUGGAUCAGGGUAUCCCAGUGGUGCAGCCGCUACUAAAGGUUCGUUUGUUCAACGAUUAAAACCCUACGUGAUCU
RNAcentral lists this ribosomal RNA (549 nucleotides) under Phyllomedusa bicolor group sp. ABGD cluster 6. RNAcentral's name for it is "partial large subunit ribosomal RNA". It matches the Rfam family "Bacterial large subunit ribosomal RNA", at positions 1857 to 2606 of the family's 2925-position model. The record is from RNAcentral. Lineage: Eukaryota; Metazoa; Chordata; Amphibia; Anura; Hylidae.